CCGCUCCGGCGGAUGGGGGGGGGGGGGAAGGGGGGGGAAGCCUCAACUUCGGCGGGUGGCGCUGGCGGAGACUUUCCCCUCACUUGCCGCGCAUGGUGCAACUCCGCUUCCCCCGGGGUCCCGGCCAGCCUGCGCCCAGACGUCUUGUUUUGACAUUACAGGGAAUUUCGUGCUCGUUAUACAUUUAAGCCCAAAGCCUAGGGGUGGAUGCGCUGUCACCGAGGGCUCUUACAGAGACUCAUGACGUCACCUGAGGCAGCCCGACCGAGAUGAUGGCUGCACGCAUCCGUCUAACUGUUGAAAGGGGAACUCUCGAAACGUUGGGAAACGGUUUUUGCGGGCUGGUGUGAUGCGUCCUGGUGUUCAGAGCCUAGAGAUCGCGGUGGUGCGAGGCCAUCAGCGCUUGGACAGACGUACAAGCGAAUGUCUCCCCUGCUAAGUAAGCUCCCAUUCGACUUACUUACUGUUGUUUUUUCAGAAGCAGAACCUACAUUAGAUUUUUAUUACUUAAAUGACGUAAACAAAUAAAACUCCCUCCAGAUUUA
Chroicocephalus ridibundus (black-headed gull) is the source of this 545-nucleotide long non-coding RNA. RefSeq lists it as uncharacterized. NCBI's taxonomy places the organism in Eukaryota, Metazoa, Chordata, Aves, Charadriiformes, Laridae. The transcript is spliced from 2 exons. The record is from RefSeq and is a predicted model, not a curated record.